ACUUUCGUGUGACUUGGAGCAUAUCUAAGCAGCAUAUUAACUGCUUUCAUUACAGUAUUAUAAUAACUAUUUAUCCUAGAUUCAGAAUUUAUAAACUUAACUUCAGAGUUGUCAUACCUAAAUCUCUUAGGACCUACCUUUAUCUCUAAAAAAUUAGCGAGAUUAGCGAAAACGAAUAAGCUUUCAAUCGAGUGAUAGCCUGUUUCUUUCCUAUCUAUAAUGUGUAAGAAAAGAUUAAUCUUUGCAUAUGCUUUCACACAAAAACUUUUCAUUAUAUGUCUUCACGAGAAUUAU
Cinara cedri is the source of this 294-nucleotide non-coding RNA. The record is from the annotation of a GenBank genome assembly. Lineage: Eukaryota; Metazoa; Arthropoda; Insecta; Hemiptera; Aphididae.